Non-coding RNA from Nitrospira sp. ST-bin5, 103 nucleotides. The record is from Rfam. NCBI's taxonomy places the organism in Bacteria, Pseudomonadati, Nitrospirota, Nitrospiria, Nitrospirales, Nitrospiraceae.
UUUCAUAGCUAGGGGGGCCAUCAGGCUGAGAGUCCGAACGAUCGGACGACCCUCACAACCUGACCUGGGUAAUACCAGCGUAGGGAAGCGGACAUGUCGCCGG